UACUAGAGUAGCACUCGCAUAUCAAUAAGCGGAGGAAAAGAAACUAACAAGGAUUCCCCUAGUAACGGCGAGUGAAGCGGGAAGAGCUCAAAUUUGAAAUCUUAAAGGGUUUCCCUUUACGAAUUGUAGUUUAAAGAAGUGUUUUUCUGUUGAGGUUUUGGUAAAAGUUCUUUGGAAUAGGACAUCAUAGAGGGUGAGAAUCCCGUAUUUGACCUUUACUUUCAACUUUGUGAUACACUUUCAAAGAGUCGGAUUGUUUGGGAAUGCAGUCCAAAAUGGGUGGUAAAUUUCAUCUAAAGCUAAAUAUUGGCGAGAGACCGAUAGCGAACAGAGUACCGUGAGGGAAAGAUGAAAAGAACUUUGAAAAGAGAGUUAAACAGUACGUGAAAUUGUCAAAAGGGAAGCGUUUGACACCAGUGUUGUUUUUCUGAAAAUCAAUUAAAGAACUGUUUAUGCUAAGUUGUUUAGACUUUAUCAGCUAACUGUUUAGUUUUGAGCUUUUCUUUAAUGCACUUUUCAGUUAACAAGUCAACAUCAAUUUCUUUUGCUGUAAAAAAGCUUGAGGAAGGUGGCUUGAGAUUCGUCUUAAGUGUUUAUAGCCUCUUGCCUAUGCAGUCGGAGAGAUUGAGGUCUGCAGCGUAGAUCCUUCGGGGCUAAACGCAUUUGUGCUAAGUUAUAGCAUUUUAUAGACAACUUGUUGACUAUGAUUUGUCUUGUAGCUUACUCGCUUAUGUUAUUUUACCUACGCUUAGGAUGUUGAGUAGCGACAUACGCAC
This 776-nucleotide ribosomal RNA is filed under the name uncultured Neocallimastigales. Its description in RNAcentral is "partial large subunit ribosomal RNA". It matches the Rfam family "Eukaryotic large subunit ribosomal RNA", at positions 20 to 649 of the family's 3401-position model. The record is from RNAcentral. Lineage: Eukaryota; Fungi; Neocallimastigomycota; Neocallimastigomycetes; Neocallimastigales.